Molecule: ribosomal RNA, 485 nt
Filed under: uncultured bacterium
Lineage: Bacteria
Description: bacterial SSU rRNA
Rfam family: Bacterial small subunit ribosomal RNA
Source: RNAcentral
GAUGAACGCUAGCGGCAGGCUUAAUACAUGCAAGUCGAGGGGCAUCAAGGUACACGAAAGUGUAUUGUUGGCGACCGGCGGACGGGUGAGUAAUAGGUAGGUAACCUACCUCAUACUGAGGCAUAGCUGGGAGAAAUUCCAGGUAAUUCCUCAUGAGGUUAUAUGACACAUGUGAUAUAAUCAAAGGUAUCGCAAGGUACUGGUAUGAGAUGGGCUUACUGACCAUUAGCUAGUUGGUGAGAUAAGAGCUCACCAAGGCGAAGAUGGUUAGGGGUUUUGAGAGAGAGAUCCCCCACAUUGGAACUGAGAUACGGUCCAGACUCCUACGGGAGGCAGCAGUAGGGAAUAUUGGGCAAUGGGCGGAAGCCUGACCCAGCCAUGCCGCGUGAAGGAAGACGGCCUUAUGGGUUGUAAACUUCUUUACUAUGCGACUAACUAGAUUUACGAGAUAAUUCUAUAGAAUGUAGCAUAGAAAAAGCACCGGA